This 457-nucleotide ribosomal RNA is filed under the name uncultured bacterium. RNAcentral describes it as "partial 16S ribosomal RNA". It matches the Rfam family "Bacterial small subunit ribosomal RNA", at positions 338 to 795 of the family's 1533-position model. The record is from RNAcentral.
CCUACGGGAGGCAGCAGUGGGGAAUAUUGCACAAUGGGGGAAACCCUGAUGCAGCGACGCCGCGUGAGUGAAGAAGUAUUUCGGUACGUAAAGCUCUAUCAGCAGGGAAGAAAAAAAGUCCUUUGGACUUUGGACGGUACCUGACUAAGAAGCCCCGGCUAACUACGUGCAAGCAGCCGCGGUAAUACGUAGGGGGGAAGCGUUAUACGGAUUUACUGGGUGUAAAGGGAGCGUAGACGGCAGCGCAAGGCUGGAGUGAAAUGCCGGGGCCCAACCCCGGAACUGCUUUGGAAACUGUGCAGCUGGAGUGCAGGAGAGGUAAGCGGAAUUCCUAGUGUAGCGGUGAAAUGCGUAGAUAUUAGGAGGAACACCAGUGGCGAAGGCGGCUUACUGGACUGUAACUGACGUUGAGGCUCGAAAGCGUGGGGAGCAAACAGGAUUAGAUACCCGAGUAGUC